Molecule: non-coding RNA, 87 nt
Organism: Pseudomonas sp. GM78
Lineage: Bacteria; Pseudomonadati; Pseudomonadota; Gammaproteobacteria; Pseudomonadales; Pseudomonadaceae
Source: Rfam
CGUUAUGGCGGGUUGUGUAGGAGCACCUUAGGGUGCGCCGGGCUCCGUUUACCCCGGUCCGCCAAUCCUAUGCAACUCGCCACCCUU